CCCUGAAAGCACUUGUGAACACCUGAGGAUCAUCUCCAGCAAAAGAGAUCAUCACUGGGACUUCGAAGGUUUUGCUAAAUAAAGCUGACGUUUUUGAGGCCAUCCAAGAAACCAACACACAGCAGCCUGGAUUUCCACCCGACAUCCUACAUGAUCUGUUAGAAGGUGUUAUUCCAGUGGAGCUUGCUCUCUGUUUAAAAGGCUCAAAAGUUCCAGAAGGGGAUCAGUAUCUUGAAAGAAGACUCAUCAGCAGUCUUCAAGAACUGCAAGGAGGAGGAGUUUGAAGAAUUCCUCAAGGGGCCAGUGGCACUGGUGGCUGUGGUAGAUGAAGACAAUGUGCCUUCAGUAAUCCCGUUUCAGCCACUCAGUGUAUCGGUUAUCCUUGAGGAUCAGGUGGUAAUGUCCCACAGAUCUUGGGCAGAUGCACUGGUAAAUUUGUUUGGCUUACUGUUUGCUCUACAUUUGAGCUAUCCAGAGAAGUUGGCAGGCUUCUUUGAGUUCGUCCAGAUUGUCAUCUUAAAUCUUGAUGAUGGAAGAAGGCAACUCAAACCGAAGUUGCAGGCAUUGAGGAAUGAGCUAGAUUGAUUUUCUCAGACUGAAUAUGUUCUGACAGGUCAAUGGUGCUUGAAUGUAAUCAUUGGGCUUUAAUGCAUAAGCCCAAUAGUGAAAAAUAAUUAACCUGCCAAAGGUUUUACUACCAAAAACAAUAUACAUGUUCCAGAGAACCAGGCCAUUAGUGGGUUUUUUUCCCCCAGUAUCAUUGUUUGUGCUGAAAUUAAUUAAUCAAAAUUAAUUGAUCAAAGAGGCAGGUAAUUAUUGUAUGCUAAGUUAUUGUGUUCUAUUGUUAGUGCAUCUAGAUUUAACUAGGUUCACAAGGUUAAUAAAUAUGACUAUUACUAUAAGCAGAUCAGUGAAGUGUACUCAUUUGGCAAAGAACUGGUGGUGAAAAGUGUUGAAGUACAAUUUGUUUGGGUAAAAAAAUUCAGCAAUAACCAUUGAUGGAAAUGUGUACUGAGACUGUGUACAUAACACACAUUUUACUGAGAACUAGUGUUUUUAUUUUUAUGUUUCUUUGUAACUUGUUCAGGUCAUGAUUCUACCAACAAUUGGUUGUGUUCAGUGUUGUUGAAAUUGAGGCUGACAUGUAAAUAUUUUGGUAAUGACUCUUCCAUUUAUAGCUGUUCUCAAACACAGUCAAGGCUGUGCAUGUAAGGCACAUUUAGCUGAUAAUAGUGUUUUUUGUUGACAGAAUGAUACUUUAACCACAGGAAGAGACUGUGACAGUGAUAUUCUUUAAGGUGUGUGUACCUUAUAGCAAUGUUUUAAUUCCACAUUCCUCUUUCUUGAUUUUAUUUAAAACAGUAAUGUUUAUGCUUUUAAAGAUUGCUUAUUUAACUGUGUUGCUCUCUUUUCCAACUAUUUUAUUUAUUUUAGGU
Molecule: long non-coding RNA, 1436 nt
Organism: Pygocentrus nattereri (red-bellied piranha)
Lineage: Eukaryota; Metazoa; Chordata; Actinopteri; Characiformes; Serrasalmidae
Exons: 5
Source: RefSeq, a predicted model, not a curated record